UUGCCAGCCCUGGGGAGUGAAUCCCUUUAUUUAUCCAGAGCAAAUGCAGCCUGGUUAGUGGCAGAGCGAGCUCCCCCACACUGCCCUGCCCUGGUGUUUCAUCCCACGGGUUCACAGAGAGAGGGCCCAGCCCUGAGGCAAUGACUCACCAGUGCUUUCCUGAGUUCCCUUCA
This 173-nucleotide small RNA is filed under the name Chelonoidis abingdonii (Abingdon island giant tortoise). RNAcentral's name for it is "TUC338 (ENSCABG00000019939.1)". The record is from RNAcentral. Lineage: Eukaryota; Metazoa; Chordata; Testudines; Testudinidae.